GACAGAGGAUGCAAGCGUUAUCCGGAAUGAUUGGGCGUAAAGCGUCUGUAGGUGGCUUUUUAAGUCCGCCGUCAAAUCCCAGGGCUCAACCCUGGACAGGCGGUGGAAACUACCAAGCUGGAGUACGGUAGGGGCAGAGGGAAUUUCCGGUGGAGCGGUGAAAUGCGUAGAGAUGCGGAGGAACACCGAUGGCGAAGGCAGCCCCCUGGGCUAACACUGACGCUCAGGCACGAAAGCGUGGGGAGCAAACAGG
RNAcentral lists this ribosomal RNA (253 nucleotides) under uncultured bacterium. RNAcentral describes it as "partial 16S ribosomal RNA". It matches the Rfam family "Bacterial small subunit ribosomal RNA", at positions 524 to 776 of the family's 1533-position model. The record is from RNAcentral.